UCUAGCCUCUGUCUUGGGGAUAGCCCAUAGAAAUGUGGAUUAAUACCCAAUAGUAUUAUAGAGUGGCAUCACUUAGUAAUUAAAGAUUUAUUGGACAGAGAUGAGCGUGCGUCCCAUUAGCUAGUGGUGCCGGUAACGGCGUACCAAAGGCGACGAUGGGUAGCUGGUGUGAGAGCACGACCAGCCACACGGGCACUGAGACACGGGCCCGACUCCUACGGGAGGCAGCAGUGAGGAAUAUUGGUCAAUGGGCGGAAGCCUGAACCAGCCAUGCCGCGUGAAGGAUGAAGGCGUUCCGCGUUGUAAACUUCUUUUAUUUGGGAAGAAAAUUGUGGUUUCUACUGCAACCGACGGUACCAGAUGAAUAAGCACCGGCUAACUCCGUG
RNAcentral lists this ribosomal RNA (386 nucleotides) under uncultured bacterium. Its description in RNAcentral is "bacterial SSU rRNA". It matches the Rfam family "Bacterial small subunit ribosomal RNA", at positions 125 to 507 of the family's 1533-position model. The record is from RNAcentral.